RNAcentral lists this ribosomal RNA (2451 nucleotides) under Escherichia coli. RNAcentral describes it as "partial 23S ribosomal RNA". It matches the Rfam family "Bacterial large subunit ribosomal RNA", at positions 1 to 2466 of the family's 2925-position model. The record is from RNAcentral. Lineage: Bacteria; Pseudomonadati; Pseudomonadota; Gammaproteobacteria; Enterobacterales; Enterobacteriaceae.
GGGUUGUGAGGUUAAGCGACUAAGCGUACACGGUGGAUGCCCUGGCAGUCAGAGGCGAUGAAGGACGUGCUAAUCUGCGAUAAGCGUCGGUAAGGUGAUAUGAACCGUUAUAACCGGCGAUUUCCGAAUGGGGAAACCCAGUGUGUUUCGACACACUAUCAUUAACUGAAUCCAUAGGUUAAUGAGGCGAACCGGGGGAACUGAAACAUCUAAGUACCCCGAGGAAAAGAAAUCAACCGAGAUUCCCCCAGUAGCGGCGAGCGAACGGGGAGGAGCCCAGAGCCUGAAUCAGUGUGUGUGUUAGUGGAAGCGUCUGGAAAGGCGCGCGAUACAGGGUGACAGCCCCGUACACAAAAAUGCACAUGCUGUGAGCUCGAUGAGUAGGGCGGGACACGUGGUAUCCUGUCUGAAUAUGGGGGGACCAUCCUCCAAGGCUAAAUACUCCUGACUGACCGAUAGUGAACCAGUACCGUGAGGGAAAGGCGAAAAGAACCCCGGCGAGGGGAGUGAAAAAGAACCUGAAACCGUGUACGUACAAGCAGUGGGAGCACAGAGCAAUCUGUGUGACUGCGUACCUUUUGUAUAAUGGGUCAGCGACUUAUAUUCUGUAGCAAGGUUAACCGAAUAGGGGAGCCGAAGGGAAACCGAGUCUUAACUGGGCGUUAAGUUGCAGGGUAUAGACCCGAAACCCGGUGAUCUAGCCAUGGGCAGGUUGAAGGUUGGGUAACACUAACUGGAGGACCGAACCGACUAAUGUUGAAAAAUUAGCGGAUGACUUGUGGCUGGGGGUGAAAGGCCAAUCAAACCGGGAGAUAGCUGGUUCUCCCCGAAAGCUAUUUAGGUAGCGCCUCGUGAAUUCAUCUCCGGGGGUAGAGCACUGUUUCGGCAAGGGGGUCAUCCCGACUUACCAACCCGAUGCAAACUGCGAAUACCGGAGAAUGUUAUCACGGGAGACACACGGCGGGUGCUAACGUCCGUCGUGAAGAGGGAAACAACCCAGACCGCCAGCUAAGGUCCCAAAGUCAUGGUUAAGUGGGAAACGAUGUGGGAAGGCCCAGACAGCCAGGAUGUUGGCUUAGAAGCAGCCAUCAUUUAAAGAAAGCGUAAUAGCUCACUGGUCGAGUCGGCCUGCGCGGAAGAUGUAACGGGGCUAAACCAUGCACCGAAGCUGCGGCAGCGACGCUGAUGCGUUGUUGGGUAGGGGAGCGUUCUGUAAGCCUGUGAAGGUGUGCUGUGAGGCAUGCUGGAGGUAUCAGAAGUGCGAAUGCUGACAUAAGUAACGAUAAAGCGGGUGAAAAGCCCGCUCGCCGGAAGACCAAGGGUUCCUGUCCAACGUUAAUCGGGGCAGGGUGAGUCGACCCCUAAGGCGAGGCCGAAAGGCGUAGUCGAUGGGAAACAGGUUAAUAUUCCUGUACUUGGUGUUACUGCGAAGGGGGGACGGAGAAGGCUAUGUUGGCCGGGCGACGGUUGUCCCGGUUUAAGCGUGUAGGCUGGUUUUCCAGGCAAAUCCGGAAAACUAAGGCUGAGGCGUGAUGACGAGGCACUACGGUGCUGAAGCAACAAAUGCCCUGCUUCCAGGAAAAGCCUCUAAGCAUCAGGUAACAUCAAAUCGUACCCCAAACCGACACAGGUGGUCAGGUAGAGAAUACCAAGGCGCUUGAGAGAACUCGGGUGAAGGAACUAGGCAAAAUGGUGCCGUAACUUCGGGAGAAGGCACGCUGAUAUGUAGGUGAAGUCCCUCGCGGAUGGAGCUGAAAUCAGUCGAAGAUACCAGCUGGCUGCAACUGUUUAUUAAAAACACAGCACUGUGCAAACACGAAAGUGGACGUAUACGGUGUGACGCCUGCCCGGUGCCGGAAGGUUAAUUGAUGGGGUCAGCGCAAGCGAAGCUCUUGAUCGAAGCCCCGGUAAACGGCGGCCGUAACUAUAACGGUCCUAAGGUAGCGAAAUUCCUUGUCGGGUAAGUUCCGACCUGCACGAAUGGCGUAAUGAUGGCCAGGCUGUCUCCACCCGAGACUCAGUGAAAUUGAACUCGCUGUGAAGAUGCAGUGUACCCGCGGCAAGACGGAAAGACCCCGUGAACCUUUACUAUAGCUUGACACUGAACAUUGAGCCUUGAUGUGUAGGAUAGGUGGGAGGCUUUGAAGUGUGGACGCCAGUCUGCAUGGAGCCGACCUUGAAAUACCACCCUUUAAUGUUUGAUGUUCUAACGUUGACCCGUAAUCCGGGUUGCGGACAGUGUCUGGUGGGUAGUUUGACUGGGGCGGUCUCCUCCUAAAGAGUAACGGAGGAGCACGAAGGUUGGCUAAUCCUGGUCGGACAUCAGGAGGUUAGUGCAAUGGCAUAAGCCAGCUUGACUGCGAGCGUGACGGCGCGAGCAGGUGCGAAAGCAGGUCAUAGUGAUCCGGUGGUUCUGAAUGGAAGGGCCAUCGCUCAACGGAUAAAAGGUAC